AUGAGGUUGACAUUUGGAAUUUUGAGUUUUCUCGAUUUCUCUUGCAGAUGCCAGUGCAACUGGAGCCGAAAAGCUGAGAGCUUAUUACACAGAAACAGCGUAUACAGAAACCGCUACAGAACAGCUUUCAUGUCGCUACAACUGUGGUUACGACAUGGGAAGCUGCUCCUGCACAAGCCACUGUGNNNNNNNNNNAAUACUAUGGCAACUGUUGCUAUGACUACAGCUCUUAUUGCCAGACGACAACCGGUGAACCUGCAACUGCUCAGCCUUCUUGUCGCUACAACUGUGGCAGUCACUUAGGAAGCUGCUCCUGUUCCAGCUCUUGCCAAUACUAUGGCAACUGUUGCUAUGACUACAGCUGUAAGCACCAAUUUACUAUCACUGUUUUUUCCAGCAGCAGUGUUCACAUAGAAUUCAGUGGUACCAUGUCAUCUAAAUGUCAAAAUAAACACCUGAUAAGAAAAUGUUGAUUUCUUGUAUCUGUCAUACAGGGCAAUGUUCAUCUACCACGGAUAUUCCUGCCACAAGUAUGACAUUCUCUUAACUAUAUGUUUGUGUUUCUACAGAAAAGCACUCAAUCAUUUAGUCUAAGUCUUAAUAUCUUUGUGUUGUGACAGCUCAGUCUUCAUGUCAGUACAACUGUGGUAGUUACCAGGGAAGCUGCUCCUGCAGCAGUUCCUGCGAAUACCAUGGCAACUGUUGCGAUGAUUAUUACUGUGAGUAUUUUGUCUCUCAAAGCCCUUUAACACAUAACAGAUCACACUACAAAGACUCAUAAUGUCCUUUUCCAUCAUUUUGCUUAAGACUGUUAUUUACAAAGGCAAUUCUUUUUCUCUCUGAGGCUUGGGGCUUUUUUUUACUGCGAGAUGCAGCAUGAAGAAAAGAAAAUAGUUUGCAAUUGCAUUCUGUUUGUAAUAUUUAAACUAUCAUAUUUUACUAUCAUACUUAAAUGUAUAUUUUGCAUUGAAGUUGGGGGACUAAAUUAGAUGAUUCUGAAAUUUAUUUUUAAUAAAGCAACUUAAUUUGAACUGUUUGGUCAGAACAAACAUUUUUGGUUCUUGGUGAACACCUAAAGUUUCUUAAAAAAAUACAAAAUUGAAAAAACACCCCACUACCAUUGACACUGGAUAUGGCACACUCUAAUAGCUUUAUAUUUAACCACAAAAUUACUCCUCUGUAACUAUCAAUGUGUAAAAUCAUAGUGAAUUUUCUCUUUGCAUGUUUUUAUCCAUACAUUUUCGAUACUUAAUUCAUCCUCUUUUGGGUAACAGAGUUGUUGGAGCCUGGCCGAGCCACUGGUGGGCAAAGUUUUUAUUCUUAAAAAAAUUGCUAAAUAAACUGCUCCCCUUUAAG
RNAcentral lists this long non-coding RNA (1356 nucleotides) under Oryzias sinensis (Chinese medaka). RNAcentral's name for it is "lncRNA (ENSOSIG00000019402.1)". Lineage: Eukaryota; Metazoa; Chordata; Actinopteri; Beloniformes; Adrianichthyidae. The record is from RNAcentral.